Long non-coding RNA from Biomphalaria glabrata, 712 nucleotides. RefSeq lists it as uncharacterized. The transcript has 2 exons. Lineage: Eukaryota; Metazoa; Mollusca; Gastropoda; Planorbidae. The record is from RefSeq and is a predicted model, not a curated record.
UCUUUUAUUGUGAAUCAGACUAAAAUACAUUUUAGUUUGAGCGGUUAAAAUCAAAUAUGAUUUUGCCAUGAGAAUAAUGCCGAAACUGGCAUAAUAGUCAAACAUUGUCGUCUGGCUAAUACUAGAUCCACAAAUUUUUGUACAUUUCGUUGGUACAUUUACUCAUCUAGACUCUAAUUUGGAAUAUUAUUAUUAAUUGAAAGAUGAAUGAACUUUUUUAUGAAGAUUACUGCCAGUGGAGAACAUUUGUGAGAAGUGUAUGACGUGCCCAUGAGAUGCCACAUUGCUAUGAUGAACUGUUACUGUUUACUAAUGAAGAUGAUUCUGGAAUUUUGGAAGUAUUAGUGUAAUGUUAUGAACAUUGACAUGAACAUGAGGAACUGUCAAGCCAAGAUGAAGAUGUCAAGAUUUUAUGUUUGUUGUCUUCCCCUUAAAUUGAAAAUGCCCUUGUAAGACUUGACAGUAGUGGAAAAAUAUUGACAUAUUUUUUUUUCAAGGGGGGGAGGAAUCUGUUAGACACCUUAUUUAUAGUUUAGUUAUUUAGCGACGCACCAUAGAAGACGCAUAUUGAACGGGACUAGUGACGUUUGGGAUAUGUUGGGUUAGAGACCGGAAAAUCAGUUAGCGAUAUAAUCCUCUAGGGUAACGACGUGUUUAGUGACAGAGACUUUUACUGUGGCCUUUUCUUAGAAUAAAUACAUGUUACACUGUU